This 468-nucleotide ribosomal RNA is filed under the name uncultured bacterium. Its description in RNAcentral is "partial 16S ribosomal RNA". It matches the Rfam family "Bacterial small subunit ribosomal RNA", at positions 28 to 507 of the family's 1533-position model. The record is from RNAcentral.
GACGAACGCUGGCGGCGUGCUUAACACAUGCAAGUCGAACGGAAAGGCCCUGCUUUUGUGGGGUGCUCGAGUGGCGAACGGGUGAGUAACACGUGAGUAACCUGCCCUUGACUUUGGGAUAACUUCAUGAAACUUGGGCUCAUACCGGAUAGGAGCUCCUGCUUCAUGGUGGGGGUUGGAUAGUUUCGGCGGUUGGGGAUGGACUCGCGGCUUAUCAGCUUGUUGGUGGGGUAGUGGCUUACCAAGGCGUUGACGGGUAGCCGGCCUGAGAGGGUGACCGGCAACAGUGGGACUGAGAUACGGCCCAGACUCCUACGGGAGGCAGAAGUGGGGAAUAUUGAAAAAUGGGCGGAAGCCUGAUGCAGCAACGCCGAGUGCGGGAUGACGGCCUUCGGGUUGUAAACCGAUUUCGCCUGUGACGAAGCGUGAGUGACGGUAAUGGGUAAAGAAGCACCGGCUAAAUACGUG